Molecule: ribosomal RNA, 334 nt
Filed under: Pyramidula jaenensis
Lineage: Eukaryota; Metazoa; Mollusca; Gastropoda; Stylommatophora; Pyramidulidae
Description: partial 16S ribosomal RNA
Source: RNAcentral
UUGACUGUGCUAAGGUAGCAUAAUAAAUUGGCUUUUAAUUGAAGUCGGGAAUGAAAGGGUGUUUGGAGUUACUCUGUCUUAUUUUUAUUUUUUAAAAAUUACUAAUGAGGUGAAAAUUCCUCAAUAUUUUUUGAUAGACGAGAAGACCCUAAGAAUUAUUACAACUAUUAAAAAUUUAAUAAAAGUUUUUGUUGGGGCAACAAUUUUGAAAAUAAUAACCAAAGUUAAAUUUAUUUCAAACAUAAAAAUUAUAAUUAAAAUGAAUUUAAUUACCUUAGGGAUAACAGCAUAAUUAUAUUUUAUAGAUUGUGACCUCGAUGUUGGAUUAAGGCCU